CCACCUUUGACAUGUACGGAAUUUGCCAGAGAUGGCUUAGUGCUCGAAAGAGAACCGUAACACAGGUGCUGCAUGGCUGUCGUCAGCUCGUGUCGUGAGAUGUUGGGUUAAGUCCCGCAACGAGCGCAACCCUUGUCAUUAGUUGCUACAUUUAGUUGGGCACUCUAAUGAGACUGCCGGUGACAAGCCGGAGGAAGGUGGGGAUGACGUCAAGUCCUCAUGGCCCUUAUAGGUGGGGCUACACACGUCAUACAAUGGCUGGUACAAAGGGUUGCCAACCCGCGAGGGGGAGCUAAUCCCAUAAAACCAGUCGUAGUCCGGAUCGCAGUCUGCAACUCGACUGCGUGAAGUCGGAAUCGCUAGUAAUCGUGGAUCAGAAUGUCACGGUGAAUACGUUCCC
This 400-nucleotide ribosomal RNA is filed under the name uncultured bacterium. RNAcentral describes it as "bacterial SSU rRNA". It matches the Rfam family "Bacterial small subunit ribosomal RNA", at positions 975 to 1375 of the family's 1533-position model. The record is from RNAcentral.